This 350-nucleotide long non-coding RNA is filed under the name Coturnix japonica (Japanese quail). Its description in RNAcentral is "lncRNA (ENSCJPG00005005726.1)". The record is from RNAcentral. Lineage: Eukaryota; Metazoa; Chordata; Aves; Galliformes; Phasianidae.
GGACUGAGUAAUUCUUAUUUUUUGUACACAUGUGAAAUUGGAAUUUGUUAGAGAAGCAACACCAAAAUCCAACAUAAACCCUGUGGUAGUCUAAUCUUCUGACUCGCAACAGCCUUUCCUGCACUACCCAUUCCUAGCACAUGAUUCUCCUGAAAACUACCAUCUACACUUGCCAAGUUGCUCUGAAAGACUCCAGGAACCUUUCUCAAGCCCACAGUAGGGAAGACAUCUGCCUUGCUCCUUCUUUCAUCUACUACUUCUGCAGAUCUUUUGCUCCAGGUAAGCUAACAACCUGUGCAUCAGAUUAUCCUAUUUGGUAUUAAUUGCCCCAGCUCAUUGUCUAAUAAAUU